This 73-nucleotide transfer RNA is filed under the name Jeotgalibaca dankookensis. Its description in RNAcentral is "Trichococcus sp. EX-07 tRNA". It matches the Rfam family "tRNA". Rfam says of the family: Transfer RNA (tRNA) molecules are approximately 80 nucleotides in length. Their secondary structure includes four short double-helical elements and three loops (D, anti-codon, and T loops). Further hydrogen bonds mediate the characteristic L-shaped molecular structure. tRNAs have two regions of fundamental functional importance: the anti-codon, which is responsible for specific mRNA codon recognition, and the 3' end, to which the tRNAs corresponding amino acid is attached (by aminoacyl-tRNA synthetases). tRNAs cope with the degeneracy of the genetic code in two manners: having more than one tRNA (with a specific anti-codon) for a particular amino acid; and 'wobble' base-pairing, i.e. permitting non-standard base-pairing at the 3rd anti-codon position. Lineage: Bacteria; Bacillati; Bacillota; Bacilli; Lactobacillales; Carnobacteriaceae. The record is from Rfam by way of RNAcentral.
GGGAUAUUAGCUCAGUUGGUAGAGCAACUGACUCUUAAUCAGUGGGUCGCAGGUUCGAUCCCUGCAUAUCCCA